UAGGGAAUAUUAGAAAUGGACGAAAGUCUGAUCUAGCGACACCGCGUGUGCGAUGAAGGCCUUCGGGUUGUAAAGCACUUUUUGGAAGGAAUAGGAAGGAAGGUACUUCCAGAAUAAGUCUCGGCUAACUACGUGCCUGCGGCCGCGGUAACACGUAGGAGGCGAACGUUAUCCGGAUUUACUGGGCGUAAAGCGCGUGUAGGUGGUUCUGUAAGUAGGGCGUGAAAGCUCCCGGCUCAACUGGGAGAGGCCGUUCUAAACUGCAGAGCUAGAGGAUGGUAGAGGGAGGUGGAAUUCCAGGUGUAGCGGUGGAAUGCGCAGAUAUCUGGAGGAACACCAGUGGCGAAAGCGGCCUCCUGGACCAUUCCUGACACUCAGACGCGAAAGCUAGGGUAGCAAACGG
This 403-nucleotide ribosomal RNA is filed under the name uncultured bacterium. RNAcentral describes it as "bacterial SSU rRNA". It matches the Rfam family "Bacterial small subunit ribosomal RNA", at positions 355 to 775 of the family's 1533-position model. The record is from RNAcentral.